RNAcentral lists this ribosomal RNA (253 nucleotides) under uncultured bacterium. RNAcentral's name for it is "partial 16S ribosomal RNA". It matches the Rfam family "Bacterial small subunit ribosomal RNA", at positions 524 to 776 of the family's 1533-position model. The record is from RNAcentral.
UACGGAGGGGGCUAGCGUUGUUCGGAAUUAUUGGGCGUAAAGAGCUCGUAGGCGGUCUGUCGCGUCGGCUGUGAAAUCCCGAGGCUCAACCUCGGGUCUGCAGUCGAUACGGGCAAACUAGAGUAUUGCAGGGGAGACUGGAAUUCCUGGUGUAGCGGUGAAAUGCGCAGAUAUCAGGAGGAACACCGGUGGCGAAGGCGGGUCUCUGGGCAAUAACUGACGCUGAGGAGCGAAAGCGUGGGGAGCGAACAGG